GACGAACGCUGGCGGCGUGCUUAACACAUGCAAGUCGAACGGAAAGGCCCUGCUUUUGUGGGGUGCUCGAGUGGCGAACGGGUGAGUAACACGUGAGUAACCUGCCCUUGACUUUGGGAUAACUUCAGGAAACUGGGGCUAAUACCGGAUAGGAGCUCCUGCUGCAUGGUGGGGGUUGGAAAGUUUCGGCGGUUGGGGAUGGACUCGCGGCUUAUCAGCUUGUUGGUGGGGUAGUGGCUUACCAAGGCUUUGACGGGUAGCCGGCCUGAGAGGGUGACCGGCCACAUGGGGACUGAGAUACGGCCCAGACUCCUACGGGAGGCAGCAGUGGGGAAUAUUGCACAAUGGGCGGAAGCCGGAUGCGGCAACGCCGCGUGCGGGAUGACGGCCUUCGGGUUGUAAACCGCUUUCGCCUGUGACGAAGCGUGAGUGACGGUAAUGGGUAAAGAAGCACCGGCUAACUACGU
This 467-nucleotide ribosomal RNA is filed under the name uncultured bacterium. RNAcentral's name for it is "partial 16S ribosomal RNA". It matches the Rfam family "Bacterial small subunit ribosomal RNA", at positions 28 to 506 of the family's 1533-position model. The record is from RNAcentral.